This is a long non-coding RNA of Cryptotermes secundus, 471 nucleotides long. RefSeq lists it as uncharacterized. Lineage: Eukaryota; Metazoa; Arthropoda; Insecta; Blattodea; Kalotermitidae. The transcript is spliced from 2 exons. The record is from RefSeq and is a predicted model, not a curated record.
UUUGACGUAGGCCGUAUUUUUAACGUGGAUAUUUCUAUGUGAAGCAUUACUGUUUAUGAAUAUAAUGUGCUGCUUUUUAGCCGAAAAAGAAGUUGUUCAGUUUUUAGGAUCUGAUGUAUCAGCCUACUAGCCAAUAAGUAGCAAGGGUUCGUUUCCCACGGUUAAAGCGACUGAGGUGUGAAGAUGACUGCCCACCUCCGUUCAGUGGCAAGUGUUCGUAAGCACGGCUUUUUGCGUUCAUUAAAUGAACUGGGAGUCACAAUUUGUUAGUGGACAAAAUGUUUGUAGACAUGAAUUGUUCGCUUCAUGUAAGUUUGUGAAGAGAAGUUUGCCUGUAAAAGAUAAUGAAGUUCCAGGCACAUAAAUGCAUGCCACAGAUAUCUGAUAGAGACAUUUUUUUCAAGCAUGUAGUGUACCAGUGACUUAGAAAUUCAAAGUGAAUUUUAAGAUUUUGACACAAUUUGCAUGUGA